This 433-nucleotide ribosomal RNA is filed under the name uncultured bacterium. RNAcentral's name for it is "partial 16S ribosomal RNA". It matches the Rfam family "Bacterial small subunit ribosomal RNA", at positions 29 to 507 of the family's 1533-position model. The record is from RNAcentral.
AACGAACGCUGGCGGCAUGCCUAACACAUGCAAGUCGAACGAGACCUUCGGGUCUAGUGGCGCACGGGUGCGUAACGCGUGGGAACCUGCCCUUAGGUUCGGAAUAACUCCCCGAAGGGGGUGCUAAUACCGGAUAAUGUCUUCGGACCAAAGAUUUAUCGCCUUUGGAUGGGCCCGCGUUGGAUUAGCUAGUUGGUAGGGUAAAAGCCUACCAAGGCGACGAUCCAUAGCUGGUCUGAGAGGAUGAUCAGCCACACUGGGACUGAGACACGGCCCAGACUCCUACGGGAGGCAGCAGUGGGGAAUAUUGGACAAUGGGCGAAAGCGUGAUCCAGCAAUGCCGGGUGAGUGAUGAAGGCCUUAGGGUUGUAAAGCUCUUUUACCCGGGAUGAUAAUGACAGUACCGGGAGAAUAAGCUCCGGCUAACUCCGUG